GACGAACGCUGGCGGCGUGCUUAACACAUGCAAGUCGAACGGUGAAGGGACCAGCUUGCUGGUUCUGGAUGAGUGGCGAACGGGUGAGUAACACGUGAGUAACCUGCCCCCUUCUUCUGGAUAACCGCAUGAAAGUGUGGCUAAUACGGGACAUUCUGGGUCUGUCGCAUGGCGGGCCCGGGAAAGAUAUUGCUUCGGUGGGGGAUGGGCUCGCGGCCUAUCAGCUUGUUGGUGGGGUGAUGGCCUACCAAGGCGGUGACGGGUAGCCGGCCUGAGAGGGUGGACGGUCACACUGGGACUGAGACACGGCCCAGACUCCUACGGGAGGCAGCAGUGGGGAAUAUUGCACAAUGGGCGCAAGCCUGAUGCAGCGACGCCGCGUGAGGGAUGGAGGCCUUCGGGUUGUAAACCUCUUUCGCCAGUGAAGCAGGCCUGCUCCUUGUGGGUGGGUUGACGGUAGCUGGAUAAGAAGCGCCGGCUAACUACGUG
RNAcentral lists this ribosomal RNA (489 nucleotides) under uncultured bacterium. RNAcentral describes it as "partial 16S ribosomal RNA". It matches the Rfam family "Bacterial small subunit ribosomal RNA", at positions 28 to 507 of the family's 1533-position model. The record is from RNAcentral.